AACGCACAUUGCGCCUUUUGGUAUUCCGAAAGGCAUACCUGUUCGAGCGCCGUUUCAUUACUCAAGUUUUUACUUGGUGUUGAAUGGUAAUCUCAUUAGAUUCAUUCGAAACUCAUUGGCACUUUGUCCUCUGGUUAAUAGCGUGACAGAAAUGUCGUUAUCAAACCGAUUGAUUUAGUUGCCAGUAUCUUUUUUAUAUGAACUGAUGGCCUCGGAUCAGGUAGGGUUACCCGCUGAACUUAA
Molecule: unclassified non-coding RNA, 243 nt
Filed under: uncultured fungus
Lineage: Eukaryota; Fungi
Description: sequence contains ITS2
Source: RNAcentral